GCGCCCUUAGCUCAGUUGGAUAGAGCAACGACCUUCUAAGUCGUAGGCCGCAGGUUCGAAUCCUGCAGGGCGCGCCA
RNAcentral lists this transfer RNA (77 nucleotides) under Escherichia coli. RNAcentral describes it as "tRNA-Arg". It matches the Rfam family "tRNA". Rfam says of the family: Transfer RNA (tRNA) molecules are approximately 80 nucleotides in length. Their secondary structure includes four short double-helical elements and three loops (D, anti-codon, and T loops). The record is from RNAcentral. Lineage: Bacteria; Pseudomonadati; Pseudomonadota; Gammaproteobacteria; Enterobacterales; Enterobacteriaceae.